Pantherophis guttatus is the source of this 489-nucleotide long non-coding RNA. RefSeq lists it as uncharacterized. NCBI's taxonomy places the organism in Eukaryota, Metazoa, Chordata, Lepidosauria, Squamata, Colubridae. The record is from RefSeq and is a predicted model, not a curated record.
AAACUAACAACAAACAAAUGGUAUUUAUCCGGCUGUAAGAUCUUCUAUUUCCUUCACUUCCCCAGGAGAUGCUGGAUAAUGAUGUUGUGAAGCCGAUGAAUCAAAGCUGGUGGAAGAAUUAGGAAUGGAUUCCGGAGCCCAUGUCCUGGCUUUGGGAGAAGGUUGGCUGCUUAACUGAAAUUAGAACUGGGAUGUUAAAGCAUCUAUGGAGUGAGUCAAAUCCACCAAGGCCGCAUAGAAGGAGAAACAAGCACGAAGCCGAGAACACCAGCCUGAAGACAAUGAAUGAGACUUCGUGGAAACGUUGCCAAGAAACCUCCAAUUUUACGCGGGAGAAAACCCGAAUAACCAAAGACCUACAUACAGACACCCGCGAAAACCUCAGAAAACAAAUAUAUAUAUAUAUAUUGUUGUGGAAAGGAUUUUAAUGCCUCUAUUUCUUUGGGUUAAAAUGGUAAAGACCAACCUGGAGUCAGAUAAUAGAAUGAC